GACAGAGGGUGCAACCGUUGUUCGGAAUUACUGGGCAUAAAGCGCACGUAGGUGGUCUGCUAAGUCAAGUGUGAAAUCCCCCGGCUCAACCGGGGAAUUGCGCUCGAUACUGGCAGGCUCGAGGUUGGUAGGGGUGAGCGGAACUCCAGGUGGAGCGGUGAAAUGCGUAGAUAUCUGGAGGAACACCGGUGGCGAAAGCGGCUCACUGGACCGAAUCUGACACUGAGGUGCGAAAGCUAGGGUAGCAAACGGG
Molecule: ribosomal RNA, 253 nt
Filed under: uncultured bacterium
Lineage: Bacteria
Description: partial 16S ribosomal RNA
Rfam family: Bacterial small subunit ribosomal RNA
Source: RNAcentral